RNAcentral lists this long non-coding RNA (353 nucleotides) under Ictidomys tridecemlineatus (thirteen-lined ground squirrel). RNAcentral describes it as "lncRNA (ENSSTOG00000030457.1)". The record is from RNAcentral. Lineage: Eukaryota; Metazoa; Chordata; Mammalia; Rodentia; Sciuridae.
UGAAUUUUUCAAAAUGCAGAUCUCAGAGAAGGAUUUAGCAAGUGUGUGUCAAUGAUGCUUUGAAGAUUCGUUUUACUCAGCGAUGAGUGAAGUGGCGGGACGGUCCAGUUGACUUAAUGAGCACUUGAGGAACAGAGAUUUAUUCAGCCCAUGGGAGAAAUGGUGCUGGGAUACACUUGCUUGCAGAUAGAUCUGAAGAGGUCUAGACGAGCCCCCGGGGCACACGGAGGAAAAUGCCCCCCAUUUGUUCCCUCCCUAGUCCACGCCUGCCCUCGAACACCUGUGUAUCCCAGGACGGGGACCAUGACGUGGAUGAAGCAGGCAGUCCCCAAGCUUCUGGAGCGUGAGCCCAG